This 205-nucleotide long non-coding RNA is filed under the name Glycine max (soybean). RNAcentral's name for it is "long non-coding RNA (GMAX_LNC002286)". The record is from RNAcentral. Lineage: Eukaryota; Viridiplantae; Streptophyta; Magnoliopsida; Fabales; Fabaceae.
AAACCGGUUCAUAAGGGGGUGGUCUACCCAGCUAUAUAAGCACUUAUCAUGUUCAUGAAUUACCCGAUGUGGGACUAUUCUUAACACGCCCCCUCGAGCCAGGGCUCGUCACCACAAAGCGAGGGCUGGCGGCACCCACCGGACAGAAGCAGAAUAUGGCUCUGAUACCAUAUUAAAUUUUAUAGUGCAGCCAAGGCAUCCGAAA